CAACAAUGAUCAUGAAUAUCAUCCGGUCGACUUUGGUGGUCUUGAUGCUGAUUCCUCUGCUGCUCCUGAUUCUGUGGACGAGGAAGAAGAAAGCUCUGAGCUCCACCACUGAACCACAUGAACCUGUAGAGAUAGAGUUGGACUCUUGUCCUGAGUACGAGAACGACUCAAACACUGCAGCACAGACAGAAGACUCAGAGGAGCAGGAAGACCGGGUGUGAAGAUGCGGUUGAACCAGAGGCGAGACUCACGUGAUGGAAACAAAGAAGUACGACGUUGAGAUAUGAGUGUGGAGAGCGAGGCUGUGCAGGAUGUGGAGGAAGUGGAGACACAAAGCUCCCAAAAGUUGUUCUUGUCAGUCGGUUUAGAGAAGAUUUAGAAGAACGAGGUGUUGGCAGCUUGAACUGAAUCAUGUCGAGGUCACAAACUAGAUGUGUUGUUUAGAUCAGCUGAUGGUCAGGUGCUGUGUGACUGACUGACUCAUGACAAACUGCUGAAGAUAUGCAAGCUUUUUAUUCUUUAGUUCUUUAUAUGACAGAUUAUUAUUAUUAUUGUGACGAUCCA
Anarrhichthys ocellatus (wolf-eel) is the source of this 564-nucleotide long non-coding RNA. RefSeq lists it as uncharacterized. The transcript is spliced from 4 exons. The record is from RefSeq and is a predicted model, not a curated record. Lineage: Eukaryota; Metazoa; Chordata; Actinopteri; Perciformes; Anarhichadidae.